GGGUUGUGAGGUUAAGCGACUAAGCGUACACGGUGGAUGCCCUGGCAGUCAGAGGCGAUGAAGGACGUGCUAAUCUGCGAAAAGCGUCGGUAAGGUGAUAUGAACCGUUAUAACCGGCGAUGUCCGAAUGGGGAAACCCAGUGCAAUUCGUUGCACUAUCGUUAACUGAAUACAUAGGUUAACGAGGCGAACCGGGGGAACUGAAACAUCUAAGUACCCCGAGGAAAAGAAAUCAACCGAGAUUCCCCCAGUAGCGGCGAGCGAACGGGGAGCAGCCCAGAGUCUGAAUCAGCUUGUGUGUUAGUGGAACGGUCUGGAAAGUCCGACGGUACAGGGUGAUAGUCCCGUACACCAAAAUGCACAGGCUGUGAACUCGAAGAGUAGGGCGGGACACGUGGUAUCCUGUCUGAAUAUGGGGGGACCAUCCUCCAAGGCUAAAUACUCCUGACUGACCGAUAGUGAACCAGUACCGUGAGGGAAAGGCGAAAAGAACCCCGGCGAGGGGAGUGAAAAAGAACCUGAAACCGUGUACGUACAAGCAGUGGGAGCACCUUCGGGUGUGACUGCGUACCUUUUGUAUAAUGGGUCAGCGACUUAUAUUCUGUAGCAAGGUUAACCGUAUAGGGGAGCCGCAGGGAAACCGAGUCUUAACUGGGCGUUAAGUUGCAGGGUAUAGACCCGAAACCCGGUGAUCUAGCCAUGGGCAGGUUGAAGGUUGGGUAACACUAACUGGAGGACCGAACCGACUAAUGUUGAAAAAUUAGCGGAUGACUUGUGGCUGGGGGUGAAAGGCCAAUCAAACCGGGAGAUAGCUGGUUCUCCCCGAAAGCUAUUUAGGUAGCGCCUCGUGAACUCAUCUUCGGGGGUAGAGCACUGUUUCGGCUAGGGGGUCAUCCCGACUUACCAACCCGAUGCAAACUACGAAUACCGAAGAAUGUUAUCACGGGAGACACACGGCGGGUGCUAACGUCCGUCGUGAAGAGGGAAACAACCCAGACCGCCAGCUAAGGUCCCAAAGUCAUGGUUAAGUGGGAAACGAUGUGGGAAGGCACAGACAGCCAGGAUGUUGGCUUAGAAGCAGCCAUCAUUUAAAGAAAGCGUAAUAGCUCACUGGUCGAGUCGGCCUGCGCGGAAGAUGUAACGGGGCUAAACCAUGCACCGAAGCUGCGGCAGCGACGCUUAUGCGUUGUUGGGUAGGGGAGCGUUCUGUAAGCCUGCGAAGGUGGCCUGUGAGGGCUGCUGGAGGUAUCAGAAGUGCGAAUGCUGACAUAAGUAACGAUAAAGCGGGUGAAAAGCCCGCUCGCCGGAAGACCAAGGGUUCCUGUCCAACGUUAAUCGGGGCAGGGUGAGUCGACCCCUAAGGCGAGGCCGAAAGGCGUAGUCGAUGGGAAACAGGUUAAUAUUCCUGUACUUGGUGUUACUGCGAAGGGGGGACGGAGAAGGCUAUGUUAGCCGGGCGACGGUUGUCCCGGUUUAAGCAUGUAGGCUGGUUAUCCAGGCAAAUCCGGAUAAUCAAGGCUGAGGUGUGAUGACGAGGCACUACGGUGCUGAAGUAACAAAUGCCCUGCUUCCAGGAAAAGCCUCUAAGCAUCAGGUAACAUCAAAUCGUACCCCAAACCGACACAGGUGGUCAGGUAGAGAAUACCAAGGCGCUUGAGAGAACUCGGGUGAAGGAACUAGGCAAAAUGGUGCCGUAACUUCGGGAGAAGGCACGCUGGUGUGUAGGUGAAGUCCCUGCGGAUGGAGCUGAGACCAGUCGAAGAUACCAGCUGGCUGCAACUGUUUAUUAAAAACACAGCACUGUGCAAACACGAAAGUGGACGUAUACGGUGUGACGCCUGCCCGGUGCCGGAAGGUUAAUUGAUGGGGUUAUCCGUAAGGAGAAGCUCUUGAUCGAAGCCCCGGUAAACGGCGGCCGUAACUAUAACGGUCCUAAGGUAGCGAAAUUCCUUGUCGGGUAAGUUCCGACCUGCACGAAUGGCGUAAUGAUGGCCAGGCUGUCUCCACCCGAGACUCAGUGAAAUUGAACUCGCUGUGAAGAUGCAGUGUACCCGCGGCAAGACGGAAAGACCCCGUGAACCUUUACUAUAGCUUGACACUGAACAUUGAGCCUUGAUGUGUAGGAUAGGUGGGAGGCUUUGAAGCGUGGACGCCAGUCUGCGUGGAGCCAACCUUGAAAUACCACCCUUUAAUGUUUGAUGUUCUAACGUUGGCCCCUUACCGGGGUUGCGGACAGUGUCUGGUGGGUAGUUUGACUGGGGCGGUCUCCUCCCAAAGCGUAACGGAGGAGCACGAAGGUUAGCUAAUCCUGGUCGGACAUCAGGAGGUUAGUGCAAUGGCAUAAGCUAGCUUGACUGCGAGCGUGACGGCGCGAGCAGGUGCGAAAGCAGGUCAUAGUGAUCCGGUGGUUCUGAAUGGAAGGGCCAUCGCUCAACGGAUAAAAGGUACUCCGGGGAUAACAGGCUGAUACCGCCCAAGAGUUCAUAUCGACGGCGGUGUUUGGCACCUCGAUGUCGGCUCAUCACAUCCUGGGGCUGAAGUAGGUCCCAAGGGUAUGGCUGUUCGCCAUUUAAAGUGGUACGCGAGCUGGGUUUAGAACGUCGUGAGACAGUUCGGUCCCUAUCUGCCGUGGGCGCUGGAGAAUUGAGGGGGGCUGCUCCUAGUACGAGAGGACCGGAGUGGACGCAUCACUGGUGUUCGGGUUGUCAUGCCAAUGGCACUGCCCGGUAGCUAAAUGCGGAAGAGAUAAGUGCUGAAAGCAUCUAAGCACGAAACUUGCCCCGAGAUGAGUUCUCCCUGAGACUUUAAGUCUCCUGAAGGAACGUUGAAGACGACGACGUUGAUAGGCCGGGUGUGUAAGCGCAGCGAUGCGUUGAGCUAACCGGUACUAAUGAACCGUGAGGCUUAACCUUACAACGCCGAAG
RNAcentral lists this ribosomal RNA (2924 nucleotides) under Klebsiella pneumoniae. Its description in RNAcentral is "bacterial LSU rRNA". It matches the Rfam family "Bacterial large subunit ribosomal RNA". The record is from RNAcentral. Lineage: Bacteria; Pseudomonadati; Pseudomonadota; Gammaproteobacteria; Enterobacterales; Enterobacteriaceae.